Molecule: ribosomal RNA, 458 nt
Filed under: uncultured bacterium
Lineage: Bacteria
Description: partial 16S ribosomal RNA
Rfam family: Bacterial small subunit ribosomal RNA
Source: RNAcentral
CCUACGGGAGACUGCAGUGAGGAAUAUUGGUCAAUGGGCGAGAGCCUGAACCAGCCAAGUCGCGUGAGGGAGUACUGCCCUAUGGGUUGUAAACCUCUUUUGUCGGGGAGCAAAAGCCGGACGUGUCCGGCUGUGAGAGUACCCGAAGAAAAAGCAUCGGCUAACUCCGUGCCAGCAGCCGCGGUAAUACGGAGGAUGCGAGCGUUAUCCGGGUUUAUUGGGUUUAAAGGGUGCGCAGGCGGAUUUUUAAGUCAGCGGUAAAAUCGUGGGGCUCAACCCCAUCCAGCCGUUGAAACUGGGGAUCUAGAGUGUGCGAGAGGUAUGCGGAAUGCGUGGUGUAGCGGUGAAAUGCAUAGAUAUCACGCAGAACCCCGAUUGCGAAGGCAGCAUACCGGUGCACAACUGACGCUCAGGCACGAAAGCGUGGGUAUCGAACAGGAUUAGAUACCCGAGUAGUC